This 440-nucleotide ribosomal RNA is filed under the name uncultured bacterium. RNAcentral describes it as "partial 16S ribosomal RNA". It matches the Rfam family "Bacterial small subunit ribosomal RNA", at positions 338 to 795 of the family's 1533-position model. The record is from RNAcentral.
CCUACGGGUGGCUGCAGUGGGGAAUAUUGGACAAUGGGCGCAAGCCUGAUCCAGCCAUGCCGCGUGAGUGAUGAAGGCCCUAGGGUUGUAAAGCUCUUUUGGCAGGGACGAUAAUGACGGUACCUGCAGAAUAAGCCCCGGCUAACUUCGUGCCAGCAGCCGCGGUAAUACGAAGGGGGCUAGCGUUGCUCGGAAUCACUGGGCGUAAAGGGCGCGUAGGCGGAUGACCAAGUCGGGGGUGAAAUCCCAGGGCUCAACCCUGGAACUGCCUUCGAUACUGGUCGUCUCGAGUUCGGGAGAGGUGAGUGGAACUCCGAGUGUAGAGGUGAAAUUCGUAGAUAUUCGGAAGAACACCAGUGGCGAAGGCGGCUCACUGGCCCGAUACUGACGCUGAGGCGCGAAAGCGUGGGGAGCAAACAGGAUUAGAUACCCCGGUAGUC